AUGGUCUUCAUGUUCCAAUUCAUGGUGCUUCAUUACAUUAUGGAAUCUUCAAGUGGUGACCAUAGGACUGAACAUAUUGAGCGACAGAGUGGUGGGUGUUUGCAACCAUUACCGGGAGAGACUGACCAACAUUUAGGAGAUGCUGAAAUGGAAGUUAACACCGACAAUGGGGGCAAUACUCAUGCAGAUCCACCUUACUUAGAACCACAGACUUUGGCUCCUGUGCCCAGCCAGACUUCCUUGCAAAUGUCUAAGGAAGUUGAAGCCGAGGCCAAUCUUGUAAUACAGUCAGCCCAACCAAUUGUAGCACCAGCGCAACUUCUGCAAAGAGAGGCAGAACAAGUAGGCCGUUCUGGUAUAACACCAGCUCAGACUUUGCGACCUGAAAUGCAACCAUCAGCAUCCAGGGAAGCUUAUACUCAGACAGAUCUGAUAAUUCAGUCUGCACAACCAAGUAUGGUGCCAACUGAGCUUUCACAAAGAGAUGCCGAACAAGCAAACCUUUCUCGUGUACCAUCAUCUCAGUGUUUGCCAUCUGCAAUGCAUCCAUCGGUUCCACCAUCCAGUAUUCUGCUUGAAAGAACACACCCUGAUCAGUGUCAACCACCAAGUCAUCAACCCGAGGCUGCACCGGGUUCUUCAGCACAACUCUUUCCGUUGGCACCAAGGAUGUUUAAUCAUCCACCAGUUGGUGAUGAUCCACUGAAAAAUGAGUUGCACAGAUUCCGGUUACACAUUGACUCGCUUAAUAAAACCCACGAGCUAAAGCAAUCACAACUUAGGACCGAGUAUAGCCAAGAAAUGGAGAAGCUCAAACAAAAGUAUGAUUUGUUACUUCAAAAACAAGAUUCCACUCAUCUUCAGCAAACGGAGACACUAAAUGAUUUAUGUGAGAAAGUUCUCCUCAACCAGUCACUAGCUGACAAUCUUCGGAAGGAAUUCAUAUCUUCUGGAGACCAAGUUAGAGCCCACAGCCCUCCAAAUCACCAGACACCCCAGGCUUCUCAGCAAGUUCCCACGAGGUCUUCAGCGGUGGCAUCGACUGCAUCACCAACUGCGUCGUCGUCAGCUGGUCGACCUCCAGUGCCGAUACAUCAUGUCCAACUAUUUCAGGUCGAUCGACCAUCACCAUCAUCAUCGCCAUCUUCACAAGUGGUCAGACCACAUCCCUCCAUACUAAGCAACAUUGCCAGAUCAACAUCAACUAGAUUUAGUCCCGCGCCAGUUCUGCCACGGGGAAGCUUUGGAGUCCACAGUGAACUAGCACGUGCACCUGCUCCUCAUCUUCAGCGCAGGUUGCCUCCACAGGUGCAUUCAAUGGUAUCUGCAAAUCAGCAGCAGCUUCCAACUAGGCUGGAGAGCAUGUCCGCAAGGACAUGGUCUAUCCCUGUGACUCCAAUAAAUAUAAGACAAUCAUGCCCACAGGCUGCUCCCCCAGGGAACCCAUCACUGUCAAGCUUGCACCCAAGUUCACACCCCACUAUACCGGCACUCUUGGGGCCAUCAAGUUCACAUCAAAUUCGGCAGGUUCCAGCACUGCCAUCAAGUUCACACCCAACACACCUGCUGUCGCCAGUACCUUGGAUUCCAAAUCCAGUUCUUCCACUAACAUCACAGCAAGGUUUGACAACGACAUCUAGCGUUUCAUCAGCUGCGUUGAAUGUGUUGCCAAGUAAAGGUGUUGGGCCUUCAGCAUCAGGCUCGGCGGAGUCAGAUUCUGAUUCAGCAUCACUGAAUGAAUGGCUAACAGGUCUUGGGCUGCCCAGUGAUCCCCAUGACAUGGAGGCUUCUGCUAAUGUAAUAUACCUAUCUGAUGAUGAAGAGACCGGUGACCAAAACAAGCAAAAAUCGGCGCUCAUCACUGAAGAGCUCCAACAGAAGCUUGCGGUCGAAGGUGGUACUUGCAAAGAAGAAAAGUGA
RNAcentral lists this ribosomal RNA (1920 nucleotides) under Triticum aestivum (bread wheat). Its description in RNAcentral is "partial small subunit ribosomal RNA". The record is from RNAcentral. Lineage: Eukaryota; Viridiplantae; Streptophyta; Magnoliopsida; Poales; Poaceae.